Molecule: ribosomal RNA, 460 nt
Filed under: uncultured bacterium
Lineage: Bacteria
Description: partial 16S ribosomal RNA
Rfam family: Bacterial small subunit ribosomal RNA
Source: RNAcentral
CCUACGGGGUGCAGCAGUGAGGAAUAUUGGUCAAUGGACGCAAGUCUGAACCAGCCAUGCCGCGUGCAGGAAGACGGCUCUAUGAGUUGGAAACUGCGUUUGUACGAGGGUAAACGCAGAUACGCGGAGUUGUCUGAAAGUAUCGUACGAAUAAGGAUCGGCUAACUCCGUGCCAGCAGCCGCGGUAAUACGGAGGAGUCAAGCGUUAUCCUGAUUUAAUGGGUUGUAAGGGUGCGUAGGCGGUCGGAUAAGUUAGAGGUGAAAUCCCGAGGCUCAACUUCGGAAUUGCCUCUGGUACUGUUAGGCUAGAGAGUAGUUGCGGUAGGCGGAAUGUAUGGUGUAGCGGUGAAAUGCUUAGAGAUCAUACAGAACACCGAUUGCGAAGGCAGCUUACCAGGCUACAUCUGACGUUGAGGCACGAAAGCGUGGGGAGCAAACAGGAUUAGAUACCCCAGUAGUC